UUCGUGAUUCUCCAGCUGUGGGUGAUAAACACUGUGCCUUGGUUAGAUUAGCAGCUUGUUUUCCAGCUUGCAUGACUGUGUUCUCCAGAGUAAGGAUCCCUUCAAUUAUUUUUGGUGAUAACAAAUUUGGUUUUGUCUGCUGAGCUUUGUUACUUAGUCCAGAUAAUUGGAAAGUCCCUGAAAAAAUUGGAUGGAGAAAGGGGUUCCAGUGAAGACUCAAUAUCUAUGAUUAUCAAGAAAGCAUUUUAACAGUUUGUCAUGGGCUCCCAUGACCCUACUGAUGCAUCAUCUACAAAAGAUGUUUGAACAGGGGAAAAUCAUUAUGAUUGAUGGAGGACGGUUUUACAAUUUGGUGAUACCGAAACCUUGAAUCCCCAAUGACAAAAGAAAGAGGAAAGGAAGGUGGAAUUCAGUGAUUAAACAAAAGAAUAUGCUACAAAAUAAAAAGAAGGAGGCCUACUCCAAUAGAUGAAUGUAUUUACUACUACUUCUAUUAGCAAAAUUUAUGUAGUUGGAUGACCAAACAAAAGGAAGAAUUGGAAACCUUACAGGCAUCAGAGUGAAGAAGAUGGAGAUAUAAAUAUACUUGAUUCAAAAAUUUGUAAUUAGUGUUUUCCUUUUGUUUUAGGCUGAAGAUAUGUGUUUAGACAUCCUAUAAAGUGUCAUAAAAGAAGAAGAAGUUGGAAAAGUCAUUUAUAGAAUUGGCAUAAAAGUGUAUUGUAUAGAACUUGGCAUAAAAGAGUUCAAAACACUUUUUGUUUAU
This is a long non-coding RNA of Capsicum annuum, 763 nucleotides long. RefSeq lists it as uncharacterized. NCBI's taxonomy places the organism in Eukaryota, Viridiplantae, Streptophyta, Magnoliopsida, Solanales, Solanaceae. The transcript has 3 exons. The record is from RefSeq and is a predicted model, not a curated record.